RNAcentral lists this small RNA (543 nucleotides) under Pongo abelii (Sumatran orangutan). Its description in RNAcentral is "processed transcript". Lineage: Eukaryota; Metazoa; Chordata; Mammalia; Primates; Hominidae. The record is from RNAcentral.
GAUGCGGCCGGGGCUGCGCGGCGGUGAUGCGAGCCUGCUGGGCGGCGCGCCGGGGCAGCCGGAGCCGCGCGCCGCGGCGCUGUAAUCGGACACCAAGAGCGCUCGCCCCCGGCGUCCGGCCACUUUCCAUUCACUCCGAGGUGCUUGAUUGCGCGACGCGGAGAAGAGCUCCGGGUGCCGCGGCACUGCAGCGCUGAGAUUCCUUUACAAAGAAACUCAGAGGACCAGGAAGAAAGAAUUUCACCUUUGCGACGUGCUAGAAAAUAAGGUCGUCUGGAAAAAGGGCUGGGAGACACAAGCGGAUCCAACCCCGGUAGCAAACUGAUGACUUUUCCGUGCUGAUUUCUUCCAACCUCGGUAUUUUCCCUUGGAUAUUAACUUGCAUAUCUGAAGAAAUGGCAUUCCGGACAAUUUGCGUGUUGGUUGGAGUAUUUAUUUGUUCUAUCUGUGUAAAAGGAUCUUCCCAGCCCCAAGCAAGAGUUUAUUUAACAUUUGAUGAGUCUCACUCUGUCACCAGGUUGGAGUGCAGUGACACGAUAUCGG